GAUGAAGAACGCAGCGAAAUGCGAUAAGUAAUGCGAAUUGCAGAUUUCAGUGAGUCAUCGAAUCUUUGAACGCACAUUGCGCCCGCCGGCAUUCCGGCGGGCAUGCCUGUUCGAGCGUCAUUUGUACCUUCAAGCUUUGCUUGGUGUUGGGCGUUUUUUGUCUCCCUCUUUCUGGGAGACUCGCCUUAAAACGAUUGGCAGCCGGCCUACUGGUUUCGGAGCGCAGCACAUAUUUUGCGCUUUGUAUCAGGAGAAAAGGACGGUAAUCCAUCAAGACUCUACAUUUUUAACUUUUGACCUCGGAUCAGGUAGGGAUACCCGCUGAACUUAAGCAUAUCAAUAAGCGGAGGA
This 351-nucleotide unclassified non-coding RNA is filed under the name soil metagenome. RNAcentral's name for it is "partial contains 5.8S ribosomal RNA, internal transcribed spacer 2, and large subunit ribosomal RNA". The stretch from base 1 to 120 matches the Rfam family "5.8S ribosomal RNA", at positions 35 to 154 of the family's 154-position model. The record is from RNAcentral.